UUUUUUUUACGGGAAAAAUGUUUUCGAAUUUUUUUUUUGCGGGAUUUUUUUUUUCUAAAUUCUUUGGCGGGCAAUUUUUUUCCGAAAUUUUUUGGCGGGAAAAAUGUUUUUGAAAUUUUUUUUGGCGGGAAAUUGUUUUUCGAAAUUUUUUGGCGGGAAAUUUUAUUUUGAAAUAUUUUAGGCGAAAAAUAUUAAUAUUUUAUUUUGUUAACCUAAAUCAAUUUACAAAUAUGGGUAAAAUGGUCAUUAAAAAAUUAAAUAGGAUAUAAAUAAAAAUGGUAAACAGAAAAGGGUAGAAUUGAAAAGGGGUAGUGUGAAAAGGACAUUAGAAAGAAUUUUUCAACAUAUUAUCCAUUUUCAUCCAACAAAAAUAUAUAAAUAAAA
Molecule: small RNA, 384 nt
Filed under: Arabidopsis thaliana (thale cress)
Lineage: Eukaryota; Viridiplantae; Streptophyta; Magnoliopsida; Brassicales; Brassicaceae
Description: ATSL204980
Source: RNAcentral